GUGGGGAAUCUUGCGCAAUGGGCGAAAGCCUGACGCAGCCAUGCCGCGUGAAUGAUGAAGGUCUUAGGAUUGUAAAAUUCUUUCACCGGGGACGAUAAUGACGGUACCCGGAGAAGAAGCCCCGGCUAACUUCGUGCCAGCAGCCGCGGUAAUACGAAGGGGGCUAGCGUUGCUCGGAAUUACUGGGCGUAAAGGGCGCGUAGGCGGACAGUUUAGUCAGAGGUGAAAGCCCAGGGCUCAACCUUGGAAUUGCCUUUGAUACUGGCUGUCUUGAGUACGGGAGAGGUGAGUGGAACUCCGAGUGUAGAGGUGAAAUUCGUAGAUAUUCGGAAGAACACCAGUGGCGAAGGCGACUCACUGGCCCGUUACUGACGCUGAGGCGCGAAAGCGUGGGGAGCAAACAGGAUUAGAAACCCCGUAGUCC
This 424-nucleotide ribosomal RNA is filed under the name uncultured bacterium. RNAcentral describes it as "partial 16S ribosomal RNA". It matches the Rfam family "Bacterial small subunit ribosomal RNA", at positions 354 to 796 of the family's 1533-position model. The record is from RNAcentral.